RNAcentral lists this ribosomal RNA (388 nucleotides) under uncultured bacterium. RNAcentral describes it as "bacterial SSU rRNA". It matches the Rfam family "Bacterial small subunit ribosomal RNA", at positions 30 to 417 of the family's 1533-position model. The record is from RNAcentral.
AUUGAACGCUGGCGGCAUGCCUUACACAUGCAAGUCGAACGGCAGCACGGGAGCAAUCCUGGUGGCGAGUGGCGAACGGGUGAGUAAUAUAUCGGAACGUGCCCAGUCGUGGGGGAUAACGUAGAGAAAUUUACGCUAAUACCGCAUACGAUCUAAGGAUGAAAGCGGGGGGACCGUAAGGCCUCGCGCGAUUGGAGCGGCUGAUAUCAGAUUAGGUUGUUGGUGAGGUAAAAGCUCACCAAGCCGACGAUCUGUAGCUGGUUUGAGAGAACGACCAGCCACACUGGGACUGAGACACGGCCCAGACUCCUACGGGAGGCAGCAGUGGGGAAUUUUGGACAAUGGGCGAAAGCCUGAUCCAGCAAUGCCGCGUGCAGGAAGAAGGCCU